RNAcentral lists this transfer-messenger RNA (431 nucleotides) under Candidatus Peregrinibacteria bacterium CG_4_10_14_0_2_um_filter_43_11. It matches the Rfam family "transfer-messenger RNA". From Rfam's summary of the family: Bacterial tmRNA, also known as 10Sa RNA or SsrA, is named for its dual tRNA and mRNA-like properties. Its role is to liberate the mRNA from a stalled ribosome. Lineage: Bacteria; Candidatus Peregrinibacteriota. The record is from RNAcentral.
GGGGAUGACUUUGGUUUUGACAGAGAGAUUCUGAAAUGAAAAACCGCAAUCCAGGUAUCGUGCUGUCUGCCUGCUAAUUAGUCCAGCGCAACUAUAAGUGCAACAACUUAUAAAUCUCUUGGUGCUCGUUAUGCCCGUGCUAAAGCGGCUUUUAUGCCUUCUUUUGUACCCGCAUUUGCGUAAACCAGGCACGACUGCCAAUUCGCAGUCUCGUUUUAUCGGGCGACACCUGCUGACCCGGUGAGGCGUUAUUUUGCAGGUUAAGCGCGUGCUCCUCCACCUGUGGAGUACGUGACGAAAAUAAAUCGGGUUAAGCGAUGACGUUCUUUGUUUGUUUUUAAUGCCGUCGACGAAAAAUUGAAAUAAACUAUGAUUGUAGAAGUUGACAUUUCACUCUUUGGACGCGGGUUCGAAUCCCGCCAUCUCCACCA